UGGGGAAUAUUGCACAAUGGGCGCAAGCCUGAUGCAGCGACGCCGCGUGGGGGAUGACGGCCUUCGGGUUGUAAUCUCCUUUCGCUAGGGACGAAGCUUUUUGUGACGGUACCUAGAUAAGAAGCACCGGCUAACUACGUGCCAGCAGCCGCGGUAAUACGUAGGGUGCGAGCGUUGUCCGGAAUUACUGGGCGUAAAGGGCUCGUAGGUGGUUUGUCGCGUCGUCUGUGAAAUUCCGGGGCUUAACUCCGGGCGUGCAGGAGAUACGGGCAUAACUUGAGUACUGUAGGGGUAACUGGAAUUCCUGGUGUAGCGGUGAAAUGCGCAGAUAUCAUGAGGGACACCGAUGGCGAAGGCAGGUUACUGGGCAGUUACUGACGCUGAGGAGCGAAAGCAUGGGUAGCGAACAGG
RNAcentral lists this ribosomal RNA (411 nucleotides) under Actinomycetes bacterium. Its description in RNAcentral is "Actinobacteria bacterium partial 16S ribosomal RNA". It matches the Rfam family "Bacterial small subunit ribosomal RNA", at positions 355 to 776 of the family's 1533-position model. Lineage: Bacteria; Bacillati; Actinomycetota; Actinomycetes. The record is from RNAcentral.